Long non-coding RNA from Zalophus californianus (California sea lion), 586 nucleotides. RefSeq lists it as uncharacterized. The transcript has 3 exons. NCBI's taxonomy places the organism in Eukaryota, Metazoa, Chordata, Mammalia, Carnivora, Otariidae. The record is from RefSeq and is a predicted model, not a curated record.
GGCACCCGGGAGCAAGAACCAGUCGGCCAGCGCUGCUUUGGGGAAGUACCCAGGGCAGGUGUGCACGGGAAGGUGGCGGGGUCCCGGACUAACCCCCAGCUGGUGCCCCGGACAGGCACAGAUGUGACAAAAACACCGUGAAAGGAGUGUGGGAAGUAUGUGUGCAGAUGAGUGCACAAGGCUCAGCCCUCGCUUCUGUAGGGAACAUCUUUCCUGGCUCAUGCAAUUUCUAUAGAGUGUGCUGUAUCAGAAUAUCAGGGCGGAGAGCCUGCAAAGAUCACAUCUUGCAGCAGAUGACCAACCAAAGACCACUGAGGGUCACCUGGAUUGCCUGUGAUCGCCGAAUAGAGUAGCAGUUCCGGAACUAGAGCCCACAUCUGCUUUGCCCAGCGGUCAGUUGUUCUCUGAGGCACCAUCUGAAGAUGUGUUUUGCAUGCAGAUGGCUCAGCUGCAUAAAAGAGACUUGGCCCUGUGACUUUCUUUGGCUGACUGGCUGUUAGCAGGCAUGAUAGAAACAGAGGUUUAAAUGUACUCCAUUGGGGAGCCUGGGUGGCUCAGGUGGUUAAGCGACUGCCUUCGGCUCAGG